GACGAACGCUGGCGGCGUGCUUAACACAUGCAAGUCGAGCGGUAAGGCCCUUUCGGGGGUACACGAGCGGCGAACGGGUGAGUAACACGNGGGUGACCUGCCCUUAGCUCUGGGAUAAGCCUGGGAAACUGGGUCUAAUACCGGAUACGACUCCGCGGUGCAUGCUGUGGGGUGGAAAGCCUUGUGCGGCUGGAGAUGGGGCCCGCGGCCUAUCAGCUUGUUGGUGGGGUGAUGGCCUACCAAGGCGACGACGGGUAGCCGGCCUGAGAGGGCGACCGGCCACACUGGGACUGAGACACGGCCCAGACUCC
RNAcentral lists this ribosomal RNA (311 nucleotides) under uncultured bacterium. RNAcentral describes it as "bacterial SSU rRNA". It matches the Rfam family "Bacterial small subunit ribosomal RNA", at positions 28 to 339 of the family's 1533-position model. The record is from RNAcentral.